AUUGUUAUUGUUUAGAUAUCUUGAAUAUGGUGACCCAUGUCCAGGAAUGCAUGGUGAUAGUAUGAGAUAUGCUGAAUUUAUAUCAACAAACGGAAUUUACUAUCCUAACGAAUUUAUCAGAGAUACUGUUGAGCUACCCUGUUCUACAGUACAUAUUUAUGAUGACGUCAGCCUAGCCAACUUUUCUCUUCCUGAACGAGUCUUUUCAGCCUACUGGGUCAACUCAAUCAGGUCAAUU
Molecule: long non-coding RNA, 238 nt
Organism: Eurytemora carolleeae
Lineage: Eukaryota; Metazoa; Arthropoda; Copepoda; Calanoida; Temoridae
Exons: 3
Source: RefSeq, a predicted model, not a curated record